UGAGGAAUAUUGCGCAAUGGGCGAAAGCCUGACGCAGCAACGCCGCGUGAGUGAUGAAGGCCUUCGGGUUGUAAAGCUCUGUCUGGUGGGACGAUGUGGUCCGAGUAACGAUCGGAUUGUGACGGUACCACCGAAGGAAGCACCGGCUAACUCCGUGCCAGCAGCCGCGGUAAUACGGAGGGUGCAAGCGUUGUCCGGAAUUACUGGGCGUAAAGCGCGUGUAGGCGGUUCGUUAUGUCGGGUGUGAAAUCCCUCGGCUCAACCGAGGAACUGCGCUCGAAACUGGCGAACUUGAGUGCGGAAGGGGAAGGUGGAAUUCCCGGUGUAGAGGUGAAAUUCGUAGAUAUCGGGAAGAAUACCGGUGGCGAAGGCGACCUUCUGGCCCGCAACUGACGCUGAGACGCGAAAGCGUGGGGAGCAAACAGG
Molecule: ribosomal RNA, 426 nt
Filed under: uncultured bacterium
Lineage: Bacteria
Description: bacterial SSU rRNA
Rfam family: Bacterial small subunit ribosomal RNA
Source: RNAcentral